Molecule: long non-coding RNA, 243 nt
Filed under: Lotus japonicus
Lineage: Eukaryota; Viridiplantae; Streptophyta; Magnoliopsida; Fabales; Fabaceae
Description: long non-coding RNA (LJAP_LNC000539)
Source: RNAcentral
AAAAUACCCAUUUGAUAAUGCAAUCCUAUGUGUGGCUUAAAUGGAUUAAAAAAAAAUUAAAAAAAGUUAUGUGUUGUAGCCAAAUCCCUCGUCGUUUAUUAUUUUUUUUAUCAUCAAUUGUUCAAUAAUUUGUAAAAUAUUUGUAAAAAAAAAACCCAGAAACCCUUCUUCCCCCUUCCCCAACUCUGGACGUGAUUACACAAACACAGAUCAGGAAGGUUCUUCCCCAAAACUCACACNNNN